GGAUGAGUCUGCGUCUGAUUAGGUAGUUGGUGAGGUAACGGCUCACCAAGCCGACGAUCAGUAACUGGUCUGAGAGGACGAACAGUCACACUGGAACUGAGACACGGUCCAGACUCCUACGGGAGGCAGCAGUG
RNAcentral lists this ribosomal RNA (134 nucleotides) under Aeromonas salmonicida subsp. salmonicida 01-B526. Its description in RNAcentral is "partial 16S ribosomal RNA". It matches the Rfam family "Bacterial small subunit ribosomal RNA", at positions 223 to 356 of the family's 1533-position model. The record is from RNAcentral. Lineage: Bacteria; Pseudomonadati; Pseudomonadota; Gammaproteobacteria; Aeromonadales; Aeromonadaceae.